AUUGAACGCUGGCGGCAUGCCUUACACAUGCAAGUCGAACGGCAGCACGGGAGCAAUCCUGGUGGCGAGUGGCGAACGGGUGAGUAAUGUAUCGGAACGUGCCCAGUCGUGGGGGAUAACGCAGCGAAAGCUGUGCUAAUACCGCAUACGAUCUAUGGAUGAAAGCGGGGGAUCGCAAGACCUCGCGCGAUUGGAGUGGCCGAUAUCAGAUUAGCUAGUUGGUGGGGUAAAAGCUUACCAAGGCGACGAUCUGUAGCUGGUCUGAGAGGGCGACCAGCCACACUGGAACUGAGACACGGUCCAGACUCCUACGGGAGGCAGCAGUGGGGAAUUUUGGACAAGGGGCGCAAGCCUGAUCCAGCAAUGCCGCGUGCAGGAUGAAGGCCUUCGGGUUGUAAACUGCUUUUGUACGGAGCGAAAAGGCUCUCUCUAAUACAGGGGGCUCAUGACGGUACCGUAAGAAUAAGCACCGGCUAACUACGUGCCAGCCGCCGCGGUAA
RNAcentral lists this ribosomal RNA (500 nucleotides) under uncultured bacterium. RNAcentral's name for it is "partial 16S ribosomal RNA". It matches the Rfam family "Bacterial small subunit ribosomal RNA", at positions 30 to 523 of the family's 1533-position model. The record is from RNAcentral.